Molecule: ribosomal RNA, 253 nt
Filed under: uncultured bacterium
Lineage: Bacteria
Description: partial 16S ribosomal RNA
Rfam family: Bacterial small subunit ribosomal RNA
Source: RNAcentral
UACGAAGGGGGCUAGCGUUGCUCGGAAUCACUGGGCGUAAAGCGCACGUAGGCGGAUGUGUCAGUCAGGGGUGAAAUCCCGGAGCUCAACUUCGGAACUGCCUCUGAUACAGCACGUCUUGAGUCCGGAAGAGGUGGGUGGAAUUCCUAGUGUAGAGGUGAAAUUCGUAGAUAUUAGGAAGAACACCGGUGGCGAAGGCGGCCCACUGGUCCGGUACUGACGCUGAGGUGCGAAAGCGUGGGGAGCAAACAGG